RNAcentral lists this long non-coding RNA (4710 nucleotides) under Bos grunniens (domestic yak). Its description in RNAcentral is "lncRNA (ENSBGRG00000000414.1)". The record is from RNAcentral. Lineage: Eukaryota; Metazoa; Chordata; Mammalia; Artiodactyla; Bovidae.
AAAGCGCAGUGCAUGGGUGCUAUUACUGCGGUGCUAUAGUUGUCACACCAUUUACCCUUCCUCCUUUAUGGUCCCCUCUCCCUGUUCGGACUUCAGCUCCACAGAUGUGGGCUUUGAUCUGCUAGACUCUUCUCUCCCCCAGCAUGCAAUGAAUCUAAAAUUCUCUUCUAUAGAGGAAAAACGUGUUCAUUUUUACAGGGAGAGAGAGAGAGGGGAUGCUGGUAAGGUGCCUCAUUAAAAUAAUGAAUUGAAAAUGGGAGGGGUGUUAAGGACCAAGUAGGCCCAUGCCAAACUAUUUUAGGACCUCUAACAACUAUUCAUCCAACUAAACUCAUAUUUAACAAACAAUUGAGCCAGCACCUUUGUGUAUCUGUAGUCUAUGUAGUGAGGGUAGCAGUGGCUUCAAAAGGGGCAGAAGGAGCCAUCUCGAGGUAUGGAAACUGACUCAAGGAGACAUGGGAAGGAGACAGCCAAGGGUGAAUGGGUGGAGAGGACACCAAAUGCCCAGGUUCUAGUCCUGGCUCUGCCUCUGACCCCACGUGAGAUUUGAGGCAGGUCCCUUCCCCAGUCUGGGUUGCAGUUUCCCCAUCUGUGAAAUAAGGGGUUAGGCCAUGAGAGCUCUGGGACCAUACACCUGAGAGGAAAUUGGAGGGGAGGAUGUGCUAAAAGGAGCCACAAGAGAGCUCUGCUGUAGGGGUUAAGAAAAGUCACCCACCUCUCAUGCCGCUUAUAAAAACCUGACAUUGACAGUGAGAUGCUGCACGACACAGAGACCUCUUUCAUUGUUUAUUCAUGUGAUCCUCAGAACAACUCUGUGAGGUAAGCGUCUGAGGUGUUUCUAUUCCUGUUUUACAGAUGGGGAAAAUGAAGUUCAAAGCAGGCUGUCCUGACUACAAGAUGCCGUAUUGUUUCUGAGAUGCCACCAUGGUGGUUGCCUCUUGGCUCAGUGCCAGCUCACUCCAGGAGUGGAGAUGAGUUCCCGGGUUCCACAUCACUCAACACCAUGCCACACGUCGUGUGUGCUCUGCAAAUAGCUCUUGGUGGUAGAGAACCAGACCAGCUGCAUAUACCUGCUGCUGCUACUGCUAAGUCACUUCAGUCGUGUCCGACUCUGUGUGACCCCAUAGACGUCAGCCCAUCAGGCUCUCCCGCCCCUGGGAUUCUCCAGGUAAGAACACUGGAGUGGUUUGCCACUUCCUUCUCCAAUGCAUGAAAGUGAAAAGUGAAAGUGAAGUCACUCAGUUGUGUCCGACUUCUAGCGACCCCAUGGACUGCAGCCCACCAGGCUCCAUCAUCCAUGGGAUUUUCCAGGCAAGAGUACUAGAGGUUGUUUUAUCGCUCCCUUUCCAAUUAUCAUGCCUCUGUUGUCAGAGAUCCAGGAGGGUAUUUGGACCUUGCCCUGUGAAUAAUGCUUAAAUCUUUUCUGACUGCCUCCUACUGUAGAUUCACAACUUGGGAAGGACUAACAAUUUCCAUGAGGAAUUUGCUUUUCCCAAAGUGUAUCAAGUCCCCAAGUAAAACAGAGUUCAGUGAGGGAAGGAGAGAGUUGUUUGCUGCAGCGUACAGAGAUGCGUUCAUUGUCUGUAACCAUUUAGUAAGAAUUCAUUAUGUGUCACAGGUUCUGCUGGGGAUAAGACUUUAAAAAGGUCAAUUAGCAGAUGGGGAAAACAUUUCAUUUAGGCUCUAUUUUAUAUCACAGGUGAAUUAUUCCAAUUAUAAUAGAUGGUCAAAUACAAAAGAAACACCAAAUAUAAACAUAAAAACAAAAACCAUAAAACUUUCAGAAAAAACUUCCAGGGUAAAGCAAGGAAGGUUACACAUGGUUAAAGAAGUCACAAAGAACAAACACUGGCAGAUUGACUACAUAAAAAUUAAAACACUUUGGCAUAGCCAAAAUUAAAAUGCAAGCCAUCAGAAAGGAUAAAAAGUUAACAUUUACUUGGAAGAUACACAUAAAUUGAAACAAACAAAAAACCCCCACUAAGAAUGACCUCAGUACCUAAAAGAACAAGGAAAUGGAAACUAAAACCAUAAUGAAAUAUGGACUUUUUGCUUAUUAAAAUUAAUUGUGUGUGUGUUAUGGUAGAGAGAAAUGUUUUGAUUUUAAAGCUGGGUGCUGAAAUACCAUAAAUGGGAAAGCCAUUUUUUUGGAAAAAUAAAUCACUUUGUUGGGAAAGAAAGCCCCGGGCAUGGUCUGUUGAGAAUUGCUCUGUAGAGCCAUGAGGGAAGGAGUUUGAGUUUAGGGGACGAUGGGUGUGGGUAUGUGAGGGGCAGUUCUGAAGGGGAUGGGAUAAGAAAGACCGAAUAAUGAAAGUCAUAGCAAAAACACUGGAGUGGGUUGCCAUGCCCUCCUCCAGGGUAUCUUCCCAACCCAGGGAUCCAACCCUGGUCUUCUGACUUGUAGGCAGAUUCUUUACCAUAUGAGCCACCAAGGAAGCCCAAGAAUACUCGAGUGGGUAGCCUAUCCGUUCUCCAGAUAUCUUCCUGACCUAGGAAUCAAAGCUGUGUCUCCAGCAUUGUAGGUGGAUUCUAUACCAGCUGAGCUACCAGGGAAGCCCCCACAAGGAGAGGAGAGGGAAGCAAUUUGAUCUCUGGGGAAUGGCUUAUGAAAUUUGUGGAGAGUGAUGUGGCUUCUUCUGUUAAAUUUUAAGUUCUCUGCUGAGCUAUAUGCCAGAAUCCUCAGUAAACAUCUACUCCACACGACUGCCAUGGGAAUUUACAGUGCUUUAAGGACAUCAAGAAAAGGGGGCUAUUUGGGUUGAGACAUAACCUAAAGAAGGAAGCAGGCCCAGGAGGUGAGAGGCAACUGAGAUUGAAUGGCAAAGCUGGCUGCUUCAAACAAAAAAGAUAAGAGAUAAAAGCAUUUUUAUAUUAAUAAUAAUAAUAAUAAAAACAUGGCUAUACUGAAAACCAAAAGGGAAAGUUUUAAGGGGCAGGAAUAAGGGCCCCCAGAGUGGUCAGGAGUAGUUGAAGCCAUUUGGCCCUCAGAACCUGAUGUAGGGGCUGGGACCACAGUGUGUGAGGCAGGCAUUUGUCUUGGGCUUGGCAGGGAUGUGCCCACCAUCAGAGCACAUCAACACAGCAGUCAAACUCAUGGUUCUUGAAGAGUGGUCCCUGAGCCAGUGGCAGCUGCAUCCCCCAGAGAAGGUGUGAUGAAUGCCAAUUCUUAGGUCCCAUUCCAGAACUAUUGGACCAAAAGUCUGGGGGUGAGGCCCUAUAUCUUUUAUAACACAGGGAUUCCAUUACACAUGAGAGUUUGAGAACUGGUUUAAACUAUACCUCAGAGGGGAGAAUCCAGUAGUUAUUAUUUAUUCAUUCAUCAAUGUAUUUAACAGAUAUUUAUUGAGUGCCUGUUGUAUGCCAGACAUGGUUAUAGACUCUAGGAGUACAGAAAAGACAAGAAUAGAGUCCUAGUUCUGGUACCAUCUGAUAAGGAUUUUAGCAUUUUCUUUCAGCCAUUCUCACAUGCCUCAUACUAUGUUAUUAACUCUCUUUCCAGUUUGUCAAGGCUGAAAUCCUUAGUGCCCUUCUUUUAUUCUCAUACUCCACCUCAGGAAAUCUUGUUGACUCUACCUUCAAAAUAUAUCCAGAAUUCAGUCUCUUAUUAUCACUCCACUGUCCUUACCUUGGCCCGAACCACUGUUAUCCACAGUAAAUGAAGUGAGAGAUGGCGAAGCUUUGAACCAGAAUCAGAGAGAAGGGUGGAGCAGCGAUCAAGUAGAGCAUUGUUUCAACACUUCACCCAAGUGACUUACGUAAAGUUCAAGUCGCACUCUUAUCCUAAAUACCUAUAUGACUUUGAAUUUCACUCAGAGCAAAAGUCCAUGUUCUUAGAGUAGUAGACAAGGGUCUCUGAGGCUGUGUGUGAUUAUCCCCCACUCUCACAUUAGUGUUAAUUCUGCAGCUUUGUAGGUCACCUCGCUGUGCUGUUCUCUAACAUAACAGAGAGACCCCGACUUUGUGGCCUUUGCACUAGCUGAUUCCUCUGUCUUGAACACUCUUCUCUCACACGUUUGCAUGGCUAAUUCACUUAUAUCCUUCAGGUUUGGGGCCAGAUGUUACUUUCUCAGUGGCCUUAUUUUAAAUGGUCUUAUUUAAAACUAUAACACCAUGCUUACUCCUUAUAGUCCUGACUCCCUUCCUACUGCUCACCAUUGUUUCCAUAACCCUAGAUUCAAGGAUGUGAUACAGUUUACUUAUGCCUUGUCUGUAUCCUCCAUUAGAACAAAAGCUCUCUGAGGCCAAGAUCUUUCUCUAUUCACUUUCUGCUCUAAACCAAGUGCCCAGAACAUUGUUCAGCAUGUAGUGGGCACUGAAUAAACAUUUAUGGAAUUAAUAAAUAAAAUAUUUCAUGCUGUAUAUUGCUAUUAUAAGUCAGAUUUCUUUUAAAAAAAUUUUUUUAGCUUUUUUUUUAUGAUAGUUAUUCAAAAGCAGAGACAUUACUUUGCCAACAAAGGUUCAUCUAGUCAAGGCUACGGUUUUUCCUGUGGUCAUGUAUGGAUGUGAGAGUUGGACUGUGAAGAAGGCUGAGCGCCGAAGAAUUGAUGCUUUUGAACUGUGGUAUUGGAGAAGACUCUUGAGAGUCCCUUGGACUGCAAGGAGAUCCAACCAGUCCAUUCUGAAGGAGAUCAGCCUGGGAUUUCUUUGGAAGGGAUGAUGCUAAAGCUGAAACUCCAGUACUUUGGCCACCUCAUGCGAAGAGUUGACUCA